GGGGUGCACCAGGCGCGAAAACUUUACAAUGCCGGCAACGGCGAUAAGGGAACCUCGAGUGCCAGGUUACAAAUCUGGCUGUCGUGAUGCCUAAAAAGCAUUGCAUAGCAAGGGCCGGGCAAGACCGGUGCCAGCCGCCGCGGUAACACCGGCGGCUCGAGUGGUAACCGUUAUUAUUGGGUCUAAAGGGUCUGUAGCCGGCCGGGUAAGUCUCUUGGGAAAUCUGGCAGCUUAACUGUCAGGCUUUCAGGAGAUACUGCCUGGCUCGAGGCCGGGAGAGGUGAGAGGUACUUCAGGGGUAGGGGUGAAAUCUUGUAAUCCUUGAAGGACCACCAGUGGCGAAGGCGUCUCACCAGAACGGACCUGACGGCAAGGGACGAAAGCUAGGGGCACGAACCGGAUUAGAUACCCGGGUAGUCCUAGCCGUAAACGAUACUCGCUAGGUGUCGGCCACGGUGCGACCGUGGUCGGUGCCGUAGGGAAGCCGUGAAGCGAGCCACCUGGGAAGUACGGCCGCAAGGCUGAAACUUAAAGGAAUUGGCGGGGGAGCACAAGGGCGAUUCGCGG
This 567-nucleotide ribosomal RNA is filed under the name uncultured archaeon. RNAcentral's name for it is "bacterial SSU rRNA". It matches the Rfam family "Archaeal small subunit ribosomal RNA", at positions 327 to 900 of the family's 1478-position model. The record is from RNAcentral.